AACGCAAAUUGCACCCCCCUGCAAAGGAGGGUAUGCCUGUUUGAGUGUCAUUUUCUAUUCUCAACUUUGCUUGGCCUUUAUGGUCUUGCAGUUGGAUGUUGAAGGCAUGCUGGCCCUGUCAGCUCCUUUUAAAUAUAUGAGCGGGACGAUUACGUGUAAAUCAGCUCCAAUGUGAUAAACUUGCGUUGUCUGUGUUGUUGCUGUCAAGUAGUAAUCACCUGCUACUAAUUGUCCUUUGUGGACUGCCUUUGGCAAUUAUCUCUGUGACUUGACCUCAAAUCAGGUAGGACUACCCGCUGAACUUAA
RNAcentral lists this unclassified non-coding RNA (306 nucleotides) under uncultured Clavaria. RNAcentral's name for it is "sequence contains ITS2". Lineage: Eukaryota; Fungi; Basidiomycota; Agaricomycetes; Agaricales; Clavariaceae. The record is from RNAcentral.